RNAcentral lists this ribosomal RNA (475 nucleotides) under uncultured bacterium. RNAcentral describes it as "bacterial SSU rRNA". It matches the Rfam family "Bacterial small subunit ribosomal RNA", at positions 29 to 506 of the family's 1533-position model. The record is from RNAcentral.
AUGAACGCUGGCGGCGUGCCUAACACAUGCAAGUCGAACGAGAUGCGUGUCGGAAAGCUUCGGCCGGAAGAUGCGUUAUCUAGUGGCGGACGGGUGAGUAACACGUGGGUAACCUGCCUUAUGGAGGGGGAUAACAGAGAGAAAUCACUGCUAAUACCGCAUAAGCACACAUUGCCGCAUGGCAGAGUGUGAAAAGAUUUAUCGCCAUAAGAUGGACCCGCGUCUGAUUAGCCAGUUGGCAGGGUAAAAGCCUACCAAAGCAACGAUCAGUAGCCGAUCUGAGAGGAUGACCGGCCACAUUGGGACUGAGACACGGCCCAAACUCCUACGGGAGGCAGCAGUGGGGAAUAUUGCACAAUGGGGGAAACCCUGAUGCAGCGACGCCGCGUGAGUGAAGAAGUAUUUCGGUAUGUAAAGCUCUAUCAGCAGGGAAGAUAAUGACAGUACCUGACUAAGAAGCCCCGGCUAACUACGU